This 301-nucleotide ribosomal RNA is filed under the name uncultured bacterium. RNAcentral's name for it is "partial 16S ribosomal RNA". It matches the Rfam family "Bacterial small subunit ribosomal RNA", at positions 509 to 809 of the family's 1533-position model. The record is from RNAcentral.
CAGUCGCCGCGGGAAUACGAAGGGUGCAAGCGUUACUCGGAAUUACUGGGCGUAAAGCGUGCGUAGGUGGUGGUUUAAGUCCGUUGUGAAAGCCCUGGGCUCAACCUGGGAAUUGCAGUGGAUACUGGGUCACUAGAGUGUGGUAGAGGAUAGUGGAAUUUCCGGUGUAGCAGUGAAAUGCGUAGAGAUCGGAAGGAACAUCUGUGGCGAAGGCGACUAUCUGGGCCAACACUGACACUGAGGCACGAAAGCGUGGGGAGCAAACAGGAUUAGAUACCCCUGUAGUCCCUGUCUCUUAUAU